This is an RNA transcript of Prunus persica (peach), 1279 nucleotides long. It is a transcript of the gene named serine/threonine-protein kinase ATG1t, with no coding region annotated. The transcript has 8 exons. NCBI's taxonomy places the organism in Eukaryota, Viridiplantae, Streptophyta, Magnoliopsida, Rosales, Rosaceae. The record is from RefSeq and is a predicted model, not a curated record.
AGGUGCUCUUACAGAGCAAGCAAAGCAAAGUCUUGAGAGCUCAAAAAUAUCAAUAUGGAACCUGAAAGCAAGCCAAGUCUCUCUGAACUCAGCAGCACAGCAGCAUUAGGAGAUUACGUUCUGAUAUCAGAGGUGGGGAAGGCUCUUUCUCCAGAGUGUGGAAAGCCGUGCACAGAGAAAGUGGGGAGGUGGUGGCUCUGAAGCAGGUCUUCCUCUCGCGGCUCAACAGGCGCCUCAAGAAUUGCUUGGAUUGCGAGAUCAAAUUCUUGUCCUCUGUUUGCCACCCCAACAUCGUUCGUCUCCUCAAAGCUUUCCAGAAUGAAGGUUGCAUAUUCCUGGUCCUGGAAUUCUGCAAUGGGGGAAAUUUGGCAGCCUAUAUUCGGCAACAUGGGAGAGUUCAAGAACAGAUUGCUAGAAAAUUUAUGCAGCAGCUUGGGGCUGGUUUGGAAAUACUACAUUCUCACCACAUCAUUCAUAGAGACUUAAAACCUGAGGACAUUCUACUCUCUCUCAGUGAUGAUGAUGUGGUGGUAAAGGUGAUUUCGGUCUCUCAAGAAGCUUACAUCCUGGUGAUUAUGCGGAGACAGUUUGUGGAUCCCCAUUAUACAUGGCACCUGAAGUUCUUCAGUUUGAAAGAUAUGAUGGAAAGGUUGACAUGUGGAGUGUUGGUGUAAUUCUUUUUGAGCUUCUUAAUGGUUGCCCUCCUUUUCCUGGCAGGACUAAUAUUCAGGUGCUUAAGAACAUCAAGUCAUCUACAUGUCCCCCUUUUGACCAACUCAUCCUUUCUCGGUUGCAUCCAGACUCUGUUGAUAUGUGUUCAAAACUGUUGUCUCAAAAUCCAGUUCACCGCCUGUCCUUCCAUGAAUUUUAUUCGCAUAGGUUUUUCAAGGUUUUUGGGAAUAGUUGAGAUGUAAAAACAAUUAUGGGAACUCAGAUGCAGUUUGAAAUCUAUGUAGAAAGUGCUUUUACUGAUGAGUUUGAUUCCCAAAAGGCAACAAGGCACCAGUUGAGAUCAAGUUCCAAAAAGAAAAAUUGUGUUAGAAGAGGUUUCUUGAUUGGGAACGUUAAGAUCUUCAGGCUCCAUCACUUUUCCAUGGAUCGUGAUGUUUUUAGGCUCAUUCCUUUUGUUUUGGUAGUAACUAUGAGCUUAGAAGUUGGAAUUCAAUUUCAGAAAGUCUGCCUUGAUUGUAAUAUCUUGAGUCAUUUGGUUCCAUAAAGGGCAUGUUCAUGAUAUUAUAGAAAUCCUCCUAUGAAAAUGAGAUUGCUCGAGUUCUAUUUU